CAGAGAGAGGGUAUGGAGGUAGAUAAAAGAUAUAUGGAUAAAUAGAUAAGUAGAUGAAUGGACAGAUGGAUACAUACAUAGCCAGAUAUGGACAGUUGAUGAUAGAUAAAUAGACAUUGACAGAUAGGUGAUACCCAGAUAGACAGACAUAGAAAACAGAUGUGAAUAGAUAAAAGACAGGCAGAUAAUAGAUGAACACAUAGAUACAGAGAUGGAUACAUAGACAGAUAGAUAGUUACAUAGUUAGGUUAGCUACAUAGUUACAUAAGUAGGGUAGGUACAUAGGUAGGAUAGAUACAUAGUUACAUAGAUAGGAUAGAUACAUAGUUGCAUAGAUAGGCUAGAUACAAAAAAAAGGCUAGAUACAUAGUUAACAGGUAGGAUAGAUACAUAGUUACAUAGAUAGGAUACAUACAUAGUCAUAUAGAUAGGAUAGAUACAUAGUUACAUACAUAGGACAGAUACACAGUGACAUAGGAUAGAUACAUAGUUGCAUAGAUAGGAUAGAUACAUAGUUGCAUAGAUAGGAUAGAUACAUAGUUGCAUAGAUAGGCUAGAUACAAAAAAAAGGCUAGAUACAUAGUUAACAGGUAGGAUAGAUACAUAGUUACAUAGAUAGGAUACAUACAUAGUCAUAUAGAUAGGAUAGAUACAUAGUUACAUACACAGGACAGAUACACAGUGACAUAGGAUAGAUACAUAGUUGCAUAGAUAGGAUAGAUACAUAGUUGCAUAGAUAGGCUAGAUACAAAAAAAAGGCUAGAUACAUAGUUAACAGGUAGGAUAGAUACAUAGUUACAUAGAUAGGAUACAUACAUAGUCAUAUAGAUAGGAUAGAUACAUAGUUACAUACACAGGACAGAUACACAGUGACAUAGGAUAGAUACAUAGUUGCAUAGAUAGGAUAGAUACAUAGUUGCAUAGAUAGGCUAGAUACAAAAAAAAAGGCUAGAUACAUAGUUAACAGGUAGGAUAGAUACAUAGUUACAUAGAUAGGAUACAUACAUAGUCAUAUAGAUAGGAUAGAUACAUAGUUACAUACAUAGGACAGAUACACAGUGACAUAGGAUAGAUACAUAGUUGCAUAGAUAGGAUAGAUACAUAAAUAGAACAUAGAUAAAUAGGUGAUGGGUAGAUGAAUGGACAGAUAGAUGCUGACAGAUGGAGGAUGGAUGGAUGGAGAGACAGAUGCACAGAUAGAUAUAUAAGACAGACUCCUGCCCAAGUAGAGGGGGACGGUGCCACCCCCUGGGGACAAACACACCAGGCC
Heterocephalus glaber (naked mole-rat) is the source of this 1270-nucleotide long non-coding RNA. The record is from Ensembl. NCBI's taxonomy places the organism in Eukaryota, Metazoa, Chordata, Mammalia, Rodentia, Bathyergidae.